UUGAUUUUCAGAUUUUUCGUCCAAAACGAAAAAUAGAGAGAAAAGAAAAUUCUGAAAUUAUAAUUUGAGUUGGUUUUGGAAAAGGAUUAGAUUUUUGUAAAUACUUAUCUUUUGGUGAAACCCUAGAUUUACAUAUAUAUAUAUACCCCCAAAACACCAAAAAAAAAAUUCUCACGUAAUACACUUUCUUCAUCUUUUUGACGGAAACUUCGUAGAAGGCGAUUUUUAGUUGAUAUUGCUAUACUUGGGACGCGUUUGAGGUUGGUGAAAGGGACUACGUUGCAGGAAUGAGUGAAUUUAUAGUUUUUAAGUUCACCUAGUUUAAUAAACACUACAGUACUGCCAUUUGAGAUUGUUUAGUUUUGUUUGGUAUAAAGUAGACAACUUAGUUUGGUUUAUUUUGAUACUUUGGUUUGUGAGUAAAAUUUUUAUUUCUAAUAAUUAGCCUUGCAUUUAUUUUGAACAAUAGAUGCGGCGGUAACACCCUAAAGGUUUGGUCAGAUAUUUUAAUGAAAAGUGAAUAUUUUAUAAAGUUUUAGAACCAAAGUUUUGGGGUGUUACAAAUUGGUAUUCAGAGCUUAGGUUAUAAUAAAUAUAAAUUAGGAGUUAAUAAAAUUUGAUAAAUAAUUACGAGUCU
Long non-coding RNA from Beta vulgaris subsp. vulgaris (sugar beet), 637 nucleotides. RefSeq lists it as uncharacterized. Lineage: Eukaryota; Viridiplantae; Streptophyta; Magnoliopsida; Caryophyllales; Amaranthaceae. The record is from RefSeq and is a predicted model, not a curated record. The transcript has 3 exons.